This is a transfer RNA of 86 nucleotides. It matches the Rfam family "tRNA". Rfam says of the family: Transfer RNA (tRNA) molecules are approximately 80 nucleotides in length. Their secondary structure includes four short double-helical elements and three loops (D, anti-codon, and T loops).
UCCGUAAUGGUCUAGUGGCUAGGAUUCCUCGCUUUCAAGCGCUAAGCUGUCCCGAGGCGGCCGGGGUUCAAUUCCCCGUUACGGAA